GUCUACAGCCAAUCCACCCUGAACACACCUGAUCCCAUCUGAUCUUAGAAGCUAAGCAGAGUCAGGACUGGUUAGUACCUGGAUGGGAUAAAACUGAGAAAAUAUCAUGAACAGACA
This 117-nucleotide ribosomal RNA is filed under the name Jaculus jaculus (lesser Egyptian jerboa). The record is from RNAcentral. Lineage: Eukaryota; Metazoa; Chordata; Mammalia; Rodentia; Dipodidae.